RNAcentral lists this ribosomal RNA (480 nucleotides) under uncultured bacterium. RNAcentral describes it as "bacterial SSU rRNA". It matches the Rfam family "Bacterial small subunit ribosomal RNA", at positions 28 to 509 of the family's 1533-position model. The record is from RNAcentral.
GAUGAACGCUAGCGGCAGGCUUAACACAUGCAAGUCGAGGGGUAUAGUUCUUCGGAACUAGAGACCGGCGCACGGGUGCGUAACGCGUAUGCAAUCUACCUUUCACAAAGGGAUAGCCCCAGAGAAAUUUGGAUUAAUACCUUAUAGUAAUACGACUUGGCAUCAAGAUGUAUUUAAAGAUUUAUCGGUGAAAGAUGAGCAUGCGUCCCAUUAGCUUGUUGGUAAGGUAACGGCUUACCAAGGCAACGAUGGGUAGGGGUCCUGAGAGGGAGAUCCCCCACACUGGUACUGAGACACGGACCAGACUCCUACGGGAGGCAGCAGUGAGGAAUAUUGGACAAUGGGCGCAAGCCUGAUCCAGCCAUGCCGCGUGCAGGAUGACGGUCCUAUGGAUUGUAAACUGCUUUGUACAGGAAGAAACCCUUUCACGUGUGGAAGAUUGACGGUACUGUAAGAAUAAGGAUCGGCUAACUCCGUGCC